Molecule: ribosomal RNA, 482 nt
Filed under: uncultured bacterium
Lineage: Bacteria
Description: partial 16S ribosomal RNA
Rfam family: Bacterial small subunit ribosomal RNA
Source: RNAcentral
GACGAACGCUGGCGGCGUGCUUAACACAUGCAAGUCGAACGAUGAAGAAGAGAAACGCGAACUUCGGUUCAAAUUUCACUUCGGAUUAGUGGCAGACGGGUGAGUAACGCGUGAGCAACCUACCUCUUACAAAGGGAUAGCCUCGGGAAACCGUGAUUAAUACCAUAUGACACAUUCAUAAGGCAUCUUAAGAAUGUUAAAGCUACGGCGGUAAGAGAUGGGCUCGCGUCCCAUUAGCUAGUUGGUGAGGUAACGGCCCACCAAGGCGACGAUGGGUAACCGGACUGAGAGGGUGAACGGUCACAUUGGAACUGAGACACGGUCCAAACUCCUACGGGAGGCAGCAGUGGGGAAUAUUGCACAAUGGAGGGAACUCUGAUGCAGCGACGCCGCGUGAGCGAUGAAGGAAUUCGUUUCGUAAAGCUCUGUUCUAUGGGAAGAAAAGGACCGUACCAUAGGAGAAAGCCCCGGCUAAAUACGUG